UGACAUAAGUAACGAUAAAGCGGGUGAAAAGCCCGCUCGCCGGAAGACCAAGGGUUCCUGUCCAACGUUAAUCGGGGCAGGGUGAGUCGACCCCUAAGGCGAGGCCGAAAGGCGUAGUCGAUGGGAAACGGGUUAAUAUUCCCGUACUUGGUGUUACUGCGAAGGGGGGACGGAGAAGGCUAUGUUGGCCGGGCGACGGUUGUCCCGGUUUAAGCGUGUAGGUGUGUGUUCCAGGUAAAUCCGGUUCACUUUAACACUGAGGCGUGAUGACGAGGCACUACGGUGCUGAAGCAACAAAUGCCCUGCUUCCAGGAAAAGCCUCUAAGCAUCAGGUAACAUCAAAUCGUACCCCAAACCGACACAGGUGGUCAGGUAGAGAAUACCAAGGCGCUUGAGAGAACUCGGGUGAAGGAACUAGGCAAAAUGGUGCCGUAACUUCGGGAGAAGGCACGCUGACAC
RNAcentral lists this ribosomal RNA (459 nucleotides) under Salmonella enterica subsp. enterica serovar Kentucky. RNAcentral describes it as "partial 23S ribosomal RNA". It matches the Rfam family "Bacterial large subunit ribosomal RNA", at positions 1298 to 1757 of the family's 2925-position model. Lineage: Bacteria; Pseudomonadati; Pseudomonadota; Gammaproteobacteria; Enterobacterales; Enterobacteriaceae. The record is from RNAcentral.